ACCUUUGAUUUGGAUUUCAACGUCUUAGAUUAAUUGAGAUAAGAUCUCUUGGGCGUGAAGGAGAGGGUGUGCAUGGGAUAUGAAGUGGUUGUGCGACAAAAAUAAAAGGGGGCAUGAGUUUUGACGUGAAAGGGUGCGGCGACUUCUUUUGGACAUCAUCUCUUCUUCCCAACGCCUCUUUCUCCCUUCUCCACUUCAUGUCCACAUGCAGAUCUGAUAGAGAUCAGACCUAAGAGAGAAAAAGAGAGAAGAAGAGAAGAAGGGUUCUUCUCUUCAUGGCGUCUGGUUCAGAUUUCAUCGGAUCUGCGUGAAAGAGUUCGCGCAGUGAUCUCUUUUUUCAAGAUCUGGAAGAAAAGAUCUAGAUCCAAGGAUGAGGAGCGAGAUCUGCAAGGUGCUUGCACACCGGUGAUUUCGGUGCUCCGAUCAGGCAUCUCCAUGUGGAUACCAGUAG
RNAcentral lists this long non-coding RNA (451 nucleotides) under Elaeis guineensis (African oil palm). Its description in RNAcentral is "long non-coding RNA (EGUI_LNC081592)". Lineage: Eukaryota; Viridiplantae; Streptophyta; Magnoliopsida; Arecales; Arecaceae. The record is from RNAcentral.